UGGGGAAUAUUGGGCAAUGGGCGCAAGCCUGACCCAGCAACGCCGCGUGAAGGAAGAAGGCUUUCGGGUUGUAAACUUCUUUGACAGGGGAAGAUAAUGACGGUACCCUGAAAACUAGCUCCGGCUAACUACGUGCCAGCAGCCGCGGUGAUACGUAGGGAGCAAGCGUUAUCCGGAAUUACUGGGUGUAAAGGGCGCGUAGGCGGGUCUGCAAGUCAGAUGUGAAAUGCCGGGGCUUAACCUCGGAGCUGCAUUUGAAACUGUAGGUCUUGAGUGAUGGAGAGGCAGGCGGAAUUCCCGGUGUAGCGGUGGAAUGCGUAGAUAUCGGGAGGAACACCAGUGGCGAAGGCGGCCUGCUGGACAUUAACUGACGCUGAGGCGCGAAAGCGUGGGGAGCAAACAGG
Molecule: ribosomal RNA, 404 nt
Filed under: uncultured bacterium
Lineage: Bacteria
Description: bacterial SSU rRNA
Rfam family: Bacterial small subunit ribosomal RNA
Source: RNAcentral